CCUACGGGAGGCAGCAGUGAGGAAUAUUGGUCAAUGGACGAAAGUCUGAACCAGCCAUGCCGCGUGAAGGAUGACGGCCCUACGGGUUGUAAACUUCUUUUGUAUAGGAAGAAACCCCUCUACGUGUAGAGGGUUGACGGUACUGUUCGAAUAAGCACCGGCUAACUCCGUGCCAGCAGCCGCGGUAAUACGGAGGGUGCGAGCGUUAUCCGGAAUUAUUGGGUUUAAAGGGUGCGUAGGCGGAAAUUUAAGUCAGAGGUGAAAUCCUGCAGCUUAACUGUAGAAUUGCCAUUGAUACUGAAUUUCUUGAAUCUUUUUGAAGUAGGCGGAAUAUGACAUGUAGCGGUGAAAUGCUUAGAUAUGUCAUAGAACACCGAUAGCGAAGGCAGCUUACUAUGUUAGUAUUGACGCUAAUGCACGAAAGCGUGGGGAGCGAACAGGAUUAGAUACCCUGGUAG
Molecule: ribosomal RNA, 458 nt
Filed under: uncultured bacterium
Lineage: Bacteria
Description: bacterial SSU rRNA
Rfam family: Bacterial small subunit ribosomal RNA
Source: RNAcentral